AAUAAAUUCUUUUUUUUCAAAUUAUAAAAUAAUUUUAAUUUAAAACAAUAUUGCCUUGAUUACAUCUAUUAGACUCUAUGAAGAUCUAUCUUAUAUUCUAUGUAUCUCUUCUUAAGCCAUACAAGAUAGUGGAUAUACCAAGAAGAAGAUAAAUGCUACUUCCUUCUAUAAAAGUAUAUAGUAAUCAAAAGUUGAAGGUGGAAGAAGUCUUAGA
This 214-nucleotide long non-coding RNA is filed under the name Physcomitrium patens. RNAcentral's name for it is "long non-coding RNA (PPAT_LNC004875)". The record is from RNAcentral. Lineage: Eukaryota; Viridiplantae; Streptophyta; Bryopsida; Funariales; Funariaceae.